UGUGCAAAGGUAGCAUAAUCAGUUGGCUCUUGAUUGGAGUCUUGUAUGAAAGGGUUUUGGGGUAACAGCUGUCUCAGUUAUAUUUUCAGAAAUUACUUAAUAGAUGCAAAUAUCUAUAGUAAUAAAGUAGACGAGAAGACCCUAGAAAUUUUUCUAUAUAUUCUAAUUCUAUUUUGUUGGGGCGACAUAGUAACAGGUAACUUACUUUAUCAGAAUAAAACACUAUUGUGAAUAAUAACUUAAAUUACUCUAGGGAUAACAGCAUAAUCCUUUUGGGUUUGUGACCUCGAUGUUGGACUAGGGAAACUAUUCUUUAGAAGAAAAUAGUGUAUGUUCUGUUCGAACAAGAUUCUCUACAUGAUCUGAGUUCAAAUCG
RNAcentral lists this ribosomal RNA (376 nucleotides) under Hygromia cinctella. RNAcentral's name for it is "partial 16S ribosomal RNA". It matches the Rfam family "Archaeal large subunit ribosomal RNA", at positions 2024 to 2687 of the family's 2987-position model. Lineage: Eukaryota; Metazoa; Mollusca; Gastropoda; Stylommatophora; Hygromiidae. The record is from RNAcentral.